Acanthosepion pharaonis is the source of this 86-nucleotide non-coding RNA. Lineage: Eukaryota; Metazoa; Mollusca; Cephalopoda; Sepiida; Sepiidae. The record is from the annotation of a GenBank genome assembly.
GUUCUUGUACAAUCACCAAAGUUAAGCAAUAUCGAGCCAGGUCAGUACCUACAUGGGUGACCACUUGGGAAUACCAGGUGCUGUAA